Silurus meridionalis is the source of this 411-nucleotide long non-coding RNA. RefSeq lists it as uncharacterized. The transcript is spliced from 3 exons. NCBI's taxonomy places the organism in Eukaryota, Metazoa, Chordata, Actinopteri, Siluriformes, Siluridae. The record is from RefSeq and is a predicted model, not a curated record.
UAAAUCCGUUUAAAAAGCGCAAGAGCUCUCCGUGCUGUAUCAAACACACGUACGUAUAAACAUACGCGCGCGUGCGCACGCACACACACACACACACACACACACCACUCGACACCUUGUAACGCCGUCGCUCCUUGUCCUGUGGAACUCGGGUAAUCUGAGCAGUGGAACACUCAGCUGAGAUCUUUGCGACUCUUGACAGCUUGAAGACGUGACGCACGUUUUUAAACUAAACUGUUUCCCCUGGAGAAAUGGGCGUGAAGGUACUCCUGUGCUUCCCAUUCUACAGACGCUGCAAACAGCGAUGCAAAGACCAAGAAUGCCCUCCCGAAGCAGAACCUGCAGUACGAAAGCUGAGCCAAAGCCACGUCUCUGCUCAACAGCAUCGACAGUCAGUGAGGGUGACAGUGG